RNAcentral lists this ribosomal RNA (609 nucleotides) under Zygaena haematina aurora. Its description in RNAcentral is "partial 12S ribosomal RNA". Lineage: Eukaryota; Metazoa; Arthropoda; Insecta; Lepidoptera; Zygaenidae. The record is from RNAcentral.
UGCGGUUAUACAAAAAUUAAAUUAAAUUUUUUUAGGAUUUAAUUAAUAAAAUUAAAAUUAAUAAUAAUUUAAAUUUUAAAUUAUAAAGUGAAAUUUUAAUUUAAUUAAAAUUUAUUUAUUUUUAUGAUAUUAAUAAAUUUUAUAAAAAACUAGGAUUAGAUACCCUAUUAUAAAAAUUUAAAUUAAAAUAAUCUUAAAAUAGUAUAUAAUUUUUUAUAGAAACUUAAAUAAUUUGGCGGUAUUUUAGUUCAUUUAGAGGAAUCUGUCUAAUAAUUGAUAAUCCACGAUUAAAUUUACUUAAUUUUUAAUUUUGUAUAUCGUUGUUAAAAAAAUAUUUUUAAAUAAUUUUAAUAUUUUAGAAUUUAUAUCAAAAAUUAAAUCAGAUCAAGAUGCAGAUUAUAAUUAAGAAUAUGAUGGAUUACAAUAAAUUUUAUUUAAUUUGGAUAUUAAUUUGAAAUAAGUUAAUUGAAAUUGGAUUUAAAUGUAAUUUUAUUUAUUUUAAUAAAAUGAUUAAAAAUUAAAAUAUGUACAUAUUGCCCGUCGCUUUCAUUAAUAAAUUGAAAUAAGUCGUAACAAAGUAGAGGUACUGGAAAGUGUUUCUAGAAAGAU